GGCUCCAUAGUAUAGUGGUUAGCAUGUCUGCUUUACACACAGAAGGUCCUGGGUUCGCACCCCAGGUGGAGCCA
This 74-nucleotide transfer RNA is filed under the name Pteropus alecto (black flying fox). It matches the Rfam family "tRNA". Rfam says of the family: Transfer RNA (tRNA) molecules are approximately 80 nucleotides in length. Their secondary structure includes four short double-helical elements and three loops (D, anti-codon, and T loops). Lineage: Eukaryota; Metazoa; Chordata; Mammalia; Chiroptera; Pteropodidae. The record is from Rfam by way of RNAcentral.